CGUCCAGACUCCUACGGGAGGCAGCAGUGGGGAAUAUUGGGCAAUGGGCGCAAGCCUGACCCAGCAACGCCGCGUGAAGGAAGAAGGCUUUCGGGUUGUAAACUUCUUUUCUCAGGGACGAAGAAAGUGACGGUACCUGAGGAAUAAGCCACGGCUAACUACGUGCCAGCAGCCGCGGUAAUACGUAGGUGGCAAGCGUUAUCCGGAUUUACUGGGUGUAAAGGGAGCGUAGACGGUCCUGCAAGCCAGAUGUGAAAGCCCGGGGCUCAACCCCGGGACUGCAUUUGGAACUGUAAGGCUAGAGUGUCGGAGAGGCAGGCGGAAUUCCUAGUGUAGCGGUGAAAUGCGUAGAUAUUAGGAGGAACACCAGUGGCGAAGGCGGCUUACUGGACUGUAAAUGACGCUGAGGCUCGAAAGCGUGGGGAGCAAACAGGAUUAGAUACCCGAGUAGA
Molecule: ribosomal RNA, 452 nt
Filed under: uncultured bacterium
Lineage: Bacteria
Description: bacterial SSU rRNA
Rfam family: Bacterial small subunit ribosomal RNA
Source: RNAcentral